AUGGAAGAGAAUAACAAAGAGACUGAUGGAAGAAUAAGAAUGGUGUGAGAUUAAGAGACUUUGGGUGAGAGAUUGAGAGAUUAGAGAGAUUGAGAGAUUAGGUAACCAGAGAAUAGAGAUUGGGAGAUUCAAAGUAACCAAAGACUAUGAAGGAGAAGGGGAAAUCCCCCUAACUCUCUUAAGAGUUACAAAUCGCCAUAUACAUCUGUUUAUAUAGACUUUUACAAUCUGAGACAUCAUAAACCUAUAUCUAAUGGCUGUAAAUAACUUAAGAGGAAUGGAUGGUGUAGAUGAGCUAGUCUUGUUGCAAUCUGUGUAGUUGAAUCUGAUUGGCUGAAGCAGCUGGCGCCUAUCUUUAAUUCAAACCAGGGCUGUGCUGUGAUUGGCUCUCCUUAAGCUCCUCCUAAUCUGUCCACAGAUCAGUCUAGGUUCAUGGUCGUGGCUCCCCUUGCCUUUACAGUCAAAGCCAGCCUGUCCCAUGACCAAACUCUCCAAUCAUAUCACAGCACCUUAUCUUCUUUGUCUUCUUCUCUUAAGAGCUUCUUUUGUCUUCUUCUCUUAAGAGCUUGUUUUGUCUUCUUCUCUUAAGAGCUGACCUAUGCCCUAUUUUUGCACAAACUUCAUAACUUCUGAAAUGAUCGAGUUAUGAGCUUUCGGGUCGGGACAGGUCCGUACGGAUCCGUACGGUCCGUACACGUCCGUACCAAAUCCGUACGGCCUCGCCCUAAGUUUGCACACUCGACCACCUGCUCCCAAAGAUACUCCUAAGCCUCUCCUGACUUGGCCCUAUCUUUGCACAACCAUCAGAUCACUUCUGGACACUCUCAGACCCUCCUGAAGCCUUGGUAGACAAUCCCUGAAGGACUUGCCCUAUCUUUGCACAAGCACCAACUCAACUCAUCACCUUUGCUUCUCCACUUCUUCUCUUCAAGUUAACACUCCCCCUCAAGCUUGACCUUAGCUGAUCCUAAGUCAAGCUUGGAACCUUGAAGAAUCCCCUCAUUAAAAACCUUACAAGGAAAACCCUUUGGGACAAAACCUUGUAAGGGAAAAAGAGUAGGUUCAUCAAGGCCUGGGGAUUGGCCAGUGAGCCCUUGUGCCUUAGAACCAGUGUGGUUGGACACAAGAAGCUCUGGAUCACGGCCUAAUAGGUGCAACAACUCUUCACAGCUUUGCACACACUUCACACUUCAGCUUCACCUCUUCAUGGAACUGGUUUGAAGUCUCCCCCUCUCAACUGACUUCUCAGCCAUCUUAGAGAAGCUAGGACAUGACCAUAGUAUCUUCAAACACCAGUGAGCCUUAUCAACACUUCACACACGGCUUGCCCUCCUCAUAGACCUGGUUUGGAUCUCCCCCUCUCAACAAACUUCACAGCCACCUUAGAGAAGCUAGGAAAUGACCAGGAACACCUUUAGUGAGGCUCAAGCAAUGGUACCUAGACACGCCACUGACUUGGUCCGGUUGAUGAUCCUUGUAGAAGCCUUUGCAAAGACUUGUUACUGACCAUGGAUCAUAUGCAUUAAGACUCCCCCUCAAGCUUAGAACCGAGACUAGAAGGAGCUAAGCUUGUGAUGAUCCUAUGCAUCUCCAUGGUCUAAUAACUAUCAUCUUUCAUGAUAGAUUUCUUCUUGUGAGUUUACUCUCUUCCUUAACCAGGAACUAGGGUGUUUGAAUCACCAUAGAGAGUCUCACAAGACACACCUCUCAUUGCAUAAUGACCCAUGCUACACUUCCUGUAGACUAAGGACUAGAUAUGUCCAAUGGUAUUAUGCAAUGGCCAUCUCUCAUUGCAUACUCAAUCACACUACACUUCCUGUAGACUAAGGACUAGAUAUGUCCAAUGGUAUUAUGCAAUGGCCAUCUCUCAUUGCAUACUCAAUCACACUACACUUCCUGUAGAUUAUGGACUAACAUGUCCUGGUGAUGAUAUGCAAUGGCACAAGACCUUUGUCUUUACAUUCUUGGUUGUUGGCGAGUUACAUGUAUCACACUCCUUGUGUACCUAACACCACCACAACUCAAUGCAAGAUCAGAUAAUCCCAUUGGGAUCAAACUAAGAUCAUCCAUCCUGUUUGAUCACCAAUGCCACAACAAUAUAUAAAUCUUGAAACAAGCCAAUCAAUCAAAGCAAGAACAAUCAGUUUUAAAUCUCUAAAAUGACAAUGCAAGCUUUAAACAAUACAUUGACAAUUUAGGCUCAUUUUUAAAUGCAUCAAUACAUGAAUGCACAGUCUUAAAGCAUUAACUACAUGAAUGCAUCAGGUUCAAUCCGAGAGCAAUAUUAAAGCUAUGCACAACAGUUCCAAUCAAUACUAAUGAUGCAAGCAACUUAGACAGUUUCUAAUUGAUGCAAGACAAUCAAUGAUGGAUUAAACAUAGGCAAUAGCAUCAGACAACAAUAGGAUUGAACUUAGACAGUAUGAGACAUGCUUAUGUAUGCAAAACAGCUUAUCAAUCAUGAUGCAAGCAGCAGAGACAUUCUACUCAAUUCUACAACACAUUCAUGAUGAUUUCAAGCUAUGGCAAUACACAAGACAAUGCAAUGAACAGAACAUGAGAUUUUGGGACUCUAGACAUUACUUAAUAUCAAUAAGACAAUGCAGUAGCAAACUAUUUCCAGUGCAAUUAGCCUAGACCUUCUACUAGAAGACAUAUUAAAAAUAGAUGAGACUAGGUUUACUCCCUUGUUUAAGAUGGUGAGGAGUGGUCUCUUCAUUUCGCCACUUGAGUCCUCACUUGCUACGCUUAACAGCUUCUCCUUUCAUCACACAAGCUCACUAACACUCCUUCUCAAGCUUGAGACCGAGUAUAGGGAAGGUCCAAGCUUGAAGGUGAGCGCUUACUAAGCUUCAUGAACAACCUUGUGGGAACACCUCCAUCUUCUUCAGACUUGAUGCUUACUUCCCCACUUAACCACCAUUGCACUGAGGAGAUACCUCAGCUUACUCUCCAAGUACUUCUUAUUAGAAGCUCAUUGAGUGGCUUUCUUCUUCCCUCUACUUCGGCUGCAUCUACACAUGAUCAGCUUGCAAUGGCCUUGAGGAACCAGGUCAUUGAGCUUAGAGGAUCUUCUGGUAGCUCACUUGAGUCCACACCUCAAGCUUGACUUAGUAUAGGUGCAAGCUUGAAGUGAGUCUCAAUGAGACUUCAAACCGGGAGCGCAUCACUACCUACAGCUGCGCUUAACCCAACCGAUCUGCCAUUGCCUUCAGCUCCAAUGCCUUCAGGUCAUCAGUCUCCCCAAGACUUAGAUGAUGACCUUUACUUGUGUGUCUCCAUGAACCAGGAGCUCAUCACUAUUACUAGCUGCGCUAUCUCAACCGGCCAUACACACAAGUCUUUCUCCAUUGCUUUAACAAUGGCAAGGUCUUCCUCUUCUACUUGGAUGGAUGGUGAGCAAAGAACGCUUCUUGUGAACCUGAAACACCACUCAAACUCCAGCAAAGAUAAGACACAAUUGCAUUGGGAUCAAUCCUUGACUUCAUCAAGUUUGAUCACCAAUGUCUCAAGCUUUAUAACAUUAAAUAGAAUCAAGACACUGUCAAGUUCUUAUCUAUGCAAGCAACCAUUCUCUAAAUACUAAGCAAGACCUUAUCAGAUUCAAGUCAAAUUAUUAGGCAAUUUUAAUCACUCCUUAAUAUGCUACUUAGACUUUAAUCUAAAUGCAACAAUACAAGGCAGCAACAAGGCAGUAUGCAUUAAUCUUAACCAGUUUCUACUCAUAACAGCAAGUAUGAUUAGAUAAUAUAAUCUAUCAUCUUAACAAGACAAGUUUCAUUUAGAACUGAAGAAACCGUAACAAGGUAGAAGUUACCUUAAGGGCUUAGUGAAGGGAUAAGACUGGUAGGAGGAUAAGGGACGCGCGUGCCAGGCUGGAACAGGCUGGAAAGUAGUCCAAGAUGCCAUAAGCAUGUGAGCCAUCCUGGCCAAUCAUUCAAAAGGCUCCCAUUGACUCCACACGGUUAAACAGUGGCGAUUUCCCUUCUUGUAAACCCUUGUGUCUCCCUUAUAAAUAUGUAACCUCACUCAUUAAUAAAUUAAGCAAGUUUUGAGACUCUCUCUUAGUCUUUAAAUCUCAAUGGUUCCAUAUUAGACUCCUAAUCUCAUUCCAUACUCUAAUCUUCACCAAAUCGUUUCUAGUCUUUCCUAAACACUCAGAUUACUCUAAACAUUACUAAAAAUCAUAAUAGGAGUUGGCAUGAAGAAGUUAUCUAUAAUAUUUAGAGAUCCUUAGAGUGAUUAGAAUAUAAGUGAGAGUUUAAGUAGAGAUUAGAAGAGAUUGUGAACGAUUAAGAGACUUGAGAGCCGAUUAGUGUCUAAGAGAGAAUCAUUGUGACUUAAGAGAUUAGAGAGACUCAGAACUGCUUAAUCUUAUUGCUGAGUGAGGUUACAUAUUUAUAAGAGAGACAUAAGGGUUUACAAGAGAAGAAAGGAGCACUAUUGAAGCAUGUGGAGUCAAGGGUCGCUUUUGAAUGGACGGAUGGGAAGCCUUACAUGCUUUGGCUCUUUACAGCCUGUCACAGCCUGUCUUGCUCUUCCCUUAUCCACUCAACGGUCUGAUCCUCUCCACUUGUGAGAUUUUCAGAGCACAGGUUGUGUGGGCGUGGUGAAUCAACCUCCACAGGUUGGGACUGAGUCUUGUUCAACAAUGGAAGAGAAUAACAAAGAGACUGAUGGAAGAAUAAGAAUGGUGUGAGAUUAAGAGACUUUGGGUGAGAGACUGAGAGAUUAGAGAGAUUGAGAGAUUAGGUAACCAGAGAAUAGAGAUUGGGAGAUUCAAAGUAACCAAAGACUAUGAAGGAGAAGGGGAAAUCCCCCUAACUCUCUUAAGAGUUACAAAUCGCCAUAUACAUCUGUUUAUAUAGACUUUUACAAUCUGAGACAUCAUAAACCUAUAUCUAAUGGCUGUAAAUAACUUAAGAGGAAUGGAUGGUGUAGAUGAGCUGGUCUUGUUGCAAUCUGUGUAGUUGAAUCUGAUUGGCUGAAGCAGCUGGCGCCUAUCUUUAAUUCAAACCAGGGCUGUGCUGUGAUUGGCUUUCCUUAAGCUCCUCCUAAUCUGUCCACAGAUCAGUCUAGGUUCAUGGUCGUGGCUCCCCUUGCCUUUACAGUCAAAGCCAGCCUGUCCCAUGACCAAACUCUCCAAUCAUAUCACAGCACCUUAUCUUCUUUGUCUUCUUCUCUUAAGAGCUUCUUUUGUCUUCUUCUCUUAAGAGCUUGUUUUGUCUUCUUCUCUUAAGAGCUGACCUAUGCCCUAUUUUUGCACAAACUUCAUAACUUCUGAAAUGAUCGAGUUAUGAGCUUUCGGGUCGGGACAGGUCCGUACGGAUCCGUACGGUCCGUACACGUCCGUACCAAAUCCGUACGGCCUCGCCCUAAGUUUGCACACUCGACCACCUGCUCCCAAAGAUACUCCUAAGCCUCUCCUGACUUGGCCCUAUCUUUGCACAACCAUUAGAUCACUUCUGGACACUCUCAGACCCUCCUGAAGCCUUAGUAGACAAUCCCUGAAGGACUUGCCCUAUCUUUGCACAAGCACCAACUCAACUCAUCACCUUUGCUUCUCCACUUCUUCUCUUCAAGUUAACACCACUAAGCCCUCAAGGUAACAUCUGCUUGUUACCGUUUCACUUGGUCAAGGUUAGGUAACCUUUGGUCGAGACAUUUGGUACGGACGGUACGGCCAUGUACGGCCUUGUACGGACGUCCGUACCAUGCUUGCCCAAAGUCCCCUCAUUCUCUUCCUCCUCUUCUCUUCCACUUCUUAUCUCUUCAUGUUCAUAUCUUCAACUCAUCUCAACCUCCCCCUCAAGCUUGACCUUAGCUGAUCCUAAGUCAAGCUUGGAACCUUGAAGAAUCCCCUCAUUAAAAACCUUACAAGGAAAACCCUUUGGGACAAAACCUUGUAAGGGAAAAAGAGUAGGUUCAUCAAGGCCUGGGGAUUGGCCAGUGAGCCCUUGUGCCUUAGAACCAGUGUGGUUGGACACAAGAAGCUCUGGAUCACGGCCUAAUAGGUGCAACAACUCUUCACAGCUUUGCACACACUUCACACUUCAGCUUCACCUCUUCAUGGAACUGGUUUGAAGUCUCCCCCUCUCAACUGACUUCUCAGCCAUCUUAGAGAAGCUAGGACACGACCAGAGUAUCUUCAAACACCAGUGAGCCUUAUCAACACUUCACACACGGCUUGCCCUCCUCAUAGACCUGGUUUGGAUCUCCCCCUCUCAAC
This 6229-nucleotide long non-coding RNA is filed under the name Brassica napus (rape). RNAcentral's name for it is "long non-coding RNA (BNAP_LNC015215)". The record is from RNAcentral. Lineage: Eukaryota; Viridiplantae; Streptophyta; Magnoliopsida; Brassicales; Brassicaceae.